AAUCAACGCUGGCGGCGUGCCUCAGACAUGCAAGUCGAACGAUUAAACUUUCCUUCGGGAAAGAUAUAAAGUGGCGCACGGGUGAGUAACACGUAAGUAAUCUACCUUCGAGUGGGGAAUAACGUUCGGAAACGAACGCUAAUACCGCAUAAUGCAGCGGCACCUAAUGGUGACAGUUGUUAAAGGAGCAAUUCGCUUGAAGAGGAGCUUGCGGCAGAUUAGCUAGUUGGAAGGUAACGGCUUACCAAGGCUACGAUCUGUAACCGGUCUAAGAGGACGGUCGGUCACACUGACACUGAAUAACGGGUCAGACUCCUACGGGAGGCAGCAGUCGGGAAUUUUGGGCAAUGGGCGAAAGCCUGACCCAGCAACGCCGCGUGAAGGAUGAAGUAUUUCGGUAUGUAAACUUGAAAGAAUGGGAAGAAUCAAUGACGGUACCGAGAGAAGAA
This 449-nucleotide ribosomal RNA is filed under the name uncultured bacterium. Its description in RNAcentral is "bacterial SSU rRNA". It matches the Rfam family "Bacterial small subunit ribosomal RNA", at positions 32 to 489 of the family's 1533-position model. The record is from RNAcentral.